RNAcentral lists this ribosomal RNA (529 nucleotides) under uncultured Alcaligenes sp. RNAcentral describes it as "bacterial SSU rRNA". It matches the Rfam family "Bacterial small subunit ribosomal RNA", at positions 8 to 526 of the family's 1533-position model. The record is from RNAcentral. Lineage: Bacteria; Pseudomonadati; Pseudomonadota; Betaproteobacteria; Burkholderiales; Alcaligenaceae.
AGAGUUUGAUCCUGGCUCAGAUUGAACGCUAGCGGGAUGCUUUACACAUGCAAGUCGAACGGCAGCGCGAGAGAGCUUGCUCUCUUGGCGGCGAGUGGCGGACGGGUGAGUAAUAUAUCGGAACGCGCCCAGUAGCGGGGGAUAACUACUCGAAAGAGUGGCUAAUACCGCAUACGCCCUACGGGGGAAAGGGGGGGAUCGCAAGACCUCUCACUAUUGGAGCGGCCGAUAUCGGAUUAGCUAGUUGGUGGGGUAAAGGCUCACCAAGGCAACGAUCCGUAGCUGGUUUGAGAGGACGACCAGCCACACUGGGACUGAGACACGGCCCAGACUCCUACGGGAGGCAGCAGUGGGGAAUUUUGGACAAUGGGGGAAACCCUGAUCCAGCCAUCCCGCGUGUAUGAUGAAGGCCUUCGGGUUGUAAAGUACUUUUGGCAGAGAAGAAAAGGAAUCCCCUAAUACGGGAUACUGCUGACGGUAUCUGCAGAAUAAGCACCGGCUAACUACGUGCCAGCAGCCGCGGUAAUAC